This 616-nucleotide ribosomal RNA is filed under the name Vibrio sp. M64. RNAcentral's name for it is "bacterial SSU rRNA". It matches the Rfam family "Bacterial small subunit ribosomal RNA", at positions 86 to 698 of the family's 1533-position model. The record is from RNAcentral. Lineage: Bacteria; Pseudomonadati; Pseudomonadota; Gammaproteobacteria; Vibrionales; Vibrionaceae.
CGGCGUCGAGCGGCGGACGGGUGAGUAAUGCCUGGGAAAUUGCCCUGAUGUGGGGGAUAACCAUUGGAAACGAUGGCUAAUACCGCAUAAUAGCUUCGGCUCAAAGAGGGGGACCUUCGGGCCUCUCGCGUCAGGAUAUGCCCAGGUGGGAUUAGCUAGUUGGUGAGGUAAGGGCUCACCAAGGCGACGAUCCCUAGCUGGUCUGAGAGGAUGAUCAGCCACACUGGAACUGAGACACGGUCCAGACUCCUACGGGAGGCAGCAGUGGGGAAUAUUGCACAAUGGGCGCAAGCCUGAUGCAGCCAUGCCGCGUGUGUGAAGAAGGCCUUCGGGUUGUAAAGCACUUUCAGUCGUGAGGAAGGUAGUGUGUUUAAUAGAUGCAUUAUUUGACGUUAGCGACAGAAGAAGCACCGGCUAACUCCGUGCCAGCAGCCGCGGUAAUACGGAGGGUGCGAGCGUUAAUCGGAAUUACUGGGCGUAAAGCGCAUGCAGGUGGUGUGUUAAGUCAGAUGUGAAAGCCCGGGGCUCAACCUCGGAAUUGCAUUUGAAACUGGCAGACUAGAGUACUGUAGAGGGGGGUAGAAUUUCAGGUGUAGCGGUGAAAUGCGUAGAGAUC